RNAcentral lists this long non-coding RNA (10955 nucleotides) under Pelobates cultripes (western spadefoot toad). The record is from RNAcentral. Lineage: Eukaryota; Metazoa; Chordata; Amphibia; Anura; Pelobatidae.
UGAAAUUUCAGAACUUUCCAGAACAUUUUUUAGCUACCGAGACAAAAAGGCAAUAACAUGCUGGAGUAAUUUUUAGGAGUGUGACUUAUUCCUGACUGCAAAGCCCAGGUUUUUGUGUGAAUGUUUAAAAAAAUGUUUUGGGACGUGAGGGUGGAUCUGUACUUAUUUCAUAUUUUGUGCUCCAGGUUUGCAGAGUUUAAAGAGAAGUGAUGCACAUUCCACCAUACUUUUUUGCGUCAUUUAACAUAAGACAAGUAAAGUCUAAAUUAGGAAUAUUGAAAAUAAGCUACGACAAGUCAACUACAUUCCCAAGAGAGAAGAAACAUGCACAGCCAUAAUUUUCUUUGGCACUUUGUUUCACAAAUUUAGAAACCUAACUUGUGCUAGACUUUUUGGUAGGUGCCAUACUUGUUAGAGUUGUUCACUGGCUGUCAGUAUUGCCUUUUGGAAUGAGGAACUUUUACCCACAAUAUGACUGAGUUAUAGAACACCAUACAUAACAUGGUUUGUUAUAGACCCUACAUAGACCAUACAUUGGGCAACAGUGUGCAGUAUCAGUCAGCAGUUCCCAAGGCCAGUCAUGGUGUAAAAAGCAUAAAGUCAACUUAUCCUGUUACGUACUUGUUAAUGUAUUAUCCCUGCCAUUGUCCCAAGCUUGUUUUCAAUAAGUAUAUUACAAAACUGGUGAUAAAAAUGGGCUUAAUAGGGCGCUGUAGUCACUAGAUCCCACUACAGCUUAAUGUAGUGGUUCUGGUGUCUACAUUGCUGAGCCUGCAUGGACAUGCUAAGAACACUGCCUAGUAAUACCUCUUGUGGCAGUCACUCGGAUGGCCAUUAGAGGUGCUUCCUGGGUUAGGUCAUUUAGUCCAGCUUUGCAUGGAGACGUUUAACACUUUCCGUAUAGCUGCAUUGAUUCGAUGCCCCACUGUGAGGUGAUGCUGAUUGGUUCAGCACUGCAUUUUGUUGAUAAUUGAUCUUCCCCAGUAUACCAGCUACAGUGAGGUCAGCAUGGCGAUGGAAAAAAGGUACGUUAAAUUGUUAUGGUGUUAGAAAUACAUGUUUAUAUUCCUCACACUAUUUGUUUACUGUAGGGGGGGAAAAGCAUCUUAAAGCGACUGUCACUUUCAGGGGUCUUUGCUUAUUUUGAAAGUAAAAUAUAAAAUGUUCUGCCUAAAUCUGAAGUUUUUAAUUUGUUCUUUUUGAGAUGGACUACAAAAUAUUUUACGGUUAAAUUUUUUUCGCCAUUUUUUUUUGUUUUCACCUUCUUUUUGAUCAGUAGCAGAAACAUUUUUUGUGAAGGGCUGGAUGUCCCCUUCACCCCACACCUUUCUUUUCCCAGUCUACAUCAAUCAAGUCAAUUUCUUUCCACUGGUACUUAAAAGUAGCACAUUGCUUCAUUCAUAUUGGUCAUUCACUUGCAUGAAGUGACCUAUACAAAACUUCCCCAUGAACAGAGUUAUUCAGAAAAGUGUUUAAAUUAAUUUUAAAUUCAUCACAAUUUACACAAUAUAAAAUAGCCAAGAUAGAAAAGUUCUCAAUGUCCACUGUGUCUUCUGUUUGUCUGUUUUUAACCUUGAAUUAGAAUUUCUGCAUACAUGCUAUAAAUAUUGUUGUAAGGGUAUAUCACUUUUGCCUUUUUGUUUGAUCAAAUUUUAAGCAUUUAAUGUAAAACCAUUUUAUAUUUUGCUUAAUGGGACAACCCACUGCCCAAAUAAGUCACUGUUUAGUAGAUGUACACACAAUCAAAACAUGCGUGCUUUUUUACGUAUUUUUUCAUUUGGGAUAUUUCUUAAAGUAGACUUUCAGUGGCUGUCCAAUCAGACAAUGCAGUUCAUUGAGGUUCUCUGGGCAAUUGCCUGCCUAUUGAGUUCAGCUCCACUGCUCUAAAGAAAUUGGGAAGUAACAGGAUUGGUUGUCAUCUUCAUCUUUAAAAUUUGUGGUGGUCCUUGAGUCAAGAUUUUGCACUUUCUUUUUUUUUUUAUCAAAUUUGUUUACAGAAAUGCUGUAUCUUUUCACAAACUGACUUAUCCACUUGUAAUAAACCUGGUUUUCUUGUCCUUCUGCAGGCGAAUUUACAGCCUUCAAGUAACUGCACUGCCACUCCAGCACCUCUCUUACUUCUAAAGUCUUGUGUUCUUAUAGUUUUACUUAGCACUGGAACUAAACCCACAAAUACAUCCAUACUGUAAAAGGGACCAGCAUGAACAUCACAGAAAGAGGGGGCGGGAUAAGGGACCAAGCAAAUUCUUCACAUUUGCCACUCGAAUGAACACAGCAGUGCUGUCCAGUUGCUACUCCCUUCACAACCCACUGGUGUAUUCACCGCUAAGGAAAGGGCAUGGCCUUUGGCUUUGUUCGGGCAUGAAAAAAUGGAUCUUCUGCAUUGUGGAAAUAUUUUCUUCUGACUAUCCAAGCUACUAACAAGGGGCUCACUUUUUUUUUUUUUUCUCUCUUUUCUUUUUCGGACUACACACCAAUCACCAUGGGACAAACUCCACUCAAAUUGUCAUGGUUGAUUUUACUCUUUACUAAUGUUUGGAGAAUAAAAUGCCUGAUCUCCCUUCACACCCUUUCCUCCCCCUUCAGCCACACUUUUUUUUUCUUUUCUAUUUUUUUUUUUUUUUUGGCAGUUAAAAAAUGUGAUAGAAAGUGAAACGUAUAUUUAGGGAGAGCCCUCAGUUAUUGUGUUUUAUAAGUGAUUUAAACUUUAGAUAUGAAUUUCUAAACUUAAAGGACUCUAUAGACACCAAAACAACUUUAGCUCAAUGAUGUAGUUUUGGUAUAUAGAUCAUGUCCCUGCAGUGUCACUGCUCAAUUAUCUGCCAUUUAGGAGUUAAAUCACUUUGUUUAUGCAGUCACACCUCCCUACAUGUGAUUUAAACAGCCUUCCUAAGCACUUACUGUAAAGUGGACCUAAUGUUUACACUUCCUUUAUUCAACAGUCUGCUUAUUUUAGACAUUGUCACCUGCACUGUUGAUAACUUGGUAGACCUUGCAGGUGCCUCCUGUGUGAUUAAAGGGACACUCCAGGCACCCAGACCACUCCAGUUCAUUGGAGUGGUCUGGGUGCCUUGCCCCUGUCUCCUUAGCCCUGUUAGUUAAAAUACUGCGGUUUUGGAAAAACCGCAGUGGUUUGAUUACAGGGCUAAUCCCACCUCUAGCUGCUGUCUCUCAGACAGCCGGUAGAUGGUGCUUCCGGCUUCUUAGAACACAAAAAAAUUUUUUUUUAAAUGACGCUGGACAUCCUCACGCUAUGCAUGAGGACCUCCAGCGUCACCAGAAUCCCCAUAGGAAAGCAUUGAAUGAUGCUUUCCUAUGAAGAGGUCUAAUGUGUGUGCGGCUAUUGCUGUGCAUUCACAAUAGACCCAGAUUGUCGCGGGACAGCAAUGGGGACAGUGCUUCGACCAAGCGCUGAGGGUCAUCGGCCCUGGGUCAGGUAAGUAAAUAAAGGGUUUUUAACCCUUUAUUUACCUGGGAGGAGGGGCACGUAGGAGAGGGGAGGCAGAGGGAUUGGUAAUGCCAGAAAUACAGCUUUGUAUUCCUUGCACUACAGUAUCACUUUAAAGUUUAAUUUUCUGAGCAUUAGAUACAACUUCUAAAGUAAGUUAACAUCUAAUAUUUUUUUUUUUCCCCAUGCAGCCAGCGAGUCACAGCCGGGGGAUGUGUGGCUAGGGCUGGAAAGAAACAAAUGAUUUGACUUGUAAAUGGCAGAGAAUUGAGCAGUGAGACCUUAGAGGUAUGAUCUGUACACAAAAACUGCUUAAUUAAGCUAAGGUUGUUUUGGUAACUGUAGUGUCCCUUUUAGCCAAAUAUUUUUAGCCAAAAAAUCUACUUUAUGCAAUAUUGCAAGUCUUAUUUUCUACUUAUGUAGGGAGUACCACUAGAACUAACCUUUUUAAAAUGACCAAUCAUUAAAUAUAUAACAAUGGAGGAUUUCUUACACAUGAAAAUAUAGAAACUUCUUCCAUUAGUCAUCUGUUACAUGGAAACCUGAUCAUUGGGUAAAGUUUUAAUAUUUUAACAUUUUAAAAAGAAAAAAAAAACACUCUUGCUAAAACCAUUAUUUGGCUUUAAAGAAAAAAAUGCAAACCAUUUAAUUUGUAUAAGUUGAGGUGCCUCCCUUCUGAGUAUUGCUUUAAUGGAGAUUCUGCUUUUUAUUUUUGUACAUUUUUAUUUCCUAUUUCCCUUUAAUCUUUGUUCAUUUGAUUGUUCUAACAAUGAACUUUCUAAUAUUGAUUACCCAUCUUUUUCUGACUAUACUUAUUUUUCACAAAGCUUAUUUAUUUUAUAUAGCUUUCCUUUCCUGUUUGCUUUGGCAAAACAAAAAUUAGUCUCUUAUUCAGCCAAACAACUAUUGUCACGUGAUGGAUAGUUGCAUGAAUAUCAGUGGACAGAAUUGCUGUGUUUAUGUAUGCCAUGGUUAAAUCACGGUUUGGAAGCCUAAUUAAUCACUUGAGUUUAUUCACCAAUUGGUGUGUUGACAGCAGGCUUACAAAAUCAGUGUGGUGGAUACAAAUCCAGCUUAAAUAAAUUGGAGAAUAUUCCCAAAUCAGUUGUCUGCACACUGCUACUCACUGUUUAGUGGAGACACUUUUAAGUAUGAUCAGUGUUUGUAAAUUAUUAUUUUUUUAUUUUUUAUUUUUUAUUUAAGCUCUGUUCAGUUCUCCAUCUCGAUUCUCCAUAAUAUAGUUGGGCUCUAACAACUCUCUCAUGUUUAGGUUGAGGGUAGUAGUUGUAGCUGUACAAUAAUUGCUUUAAUGUUGCAUUUUCACCUGUCAUCUAUUUUUUUUUUUUUUUUAUGUGAAUACUGUGCAUUCUCUGCUUGUAUGGUAAUAUUCUGACCGGCUACAUCAUCUGCUCUGACUAGCCAUUGUCAUGAAUGUUUGUUAACUAUAUUUGUAAGAUCUUGGCAGCAGAACAGUUAUAUAUCACUCUUUUAAAGGAACACUCCUGGCACCAUAGCAACGUCAUCUGGAUGACAUUAUGGUGCCAGGAGGUCCCUGAUGCCAGCUUACCUUUAGGUGCUGUUUAGCUCUGUCACUACCUUUCCACUUAUAUCUGAUUCUUGAAACAGGAAGCCUUGAACUGGGGUGCCACUGAUUGGCAUCCAGCUACCUUUUCUGCUACUGGUUUUUUAUUGAUUUGUUUCCUUUAACAUAAACACUUUAUAGAAUAGAAACACAAAAUGGCCACUGAUGGCGAGUUAAUUUUUAGUUUGUACAGCUUACAAAAAACAUAUUUCUUUAUAUAUUUAAAUUAUUUUGAUAUGUAAAUAUUGGACAUAUUAAACACGGCCGGUGCUUGCAUGUUGAAACCAUACAAUAUAGGCUUUAACAUCGGACACAUGCUGUGACUCUUCCUCUGUAUGCCACCCAUUAAAUUUUUUUAUUUUUUUUUUAUUUACACACAUGGUGUACAGGCUACUUUAAAAAUGUUUAUAGCUAAUAUUUUAGUUUCCCAACAAAACCGUACUUUUGCUAAGACUCAAUUCCCCCUUCCCCCAUUCCCCCCUCUCCCCCCCCGUAUUCAGUGAACUUGAGGUUGACAUACAAAAAAGUACACGUUUAGAAAAGCCAUGGGUAAUUUUCUAAAUCCGUUUCGGCCAAGCGUUGCAGGUUUAACUUCUUUUUUUAGUGAUUUAAAUUCCAAGGCAGUACAAACAGUCAUCCUCAUAUUUUGGUUUUGUGCAUGUUUGUUUGUCAUUCUACUUUAUCUUUAAGAAAGGAGUAUUUUGGUCUAUAUGUGUAUUUUAAAUAAUCCAUCUUGGAUUUAAUGUAUAUGCUUAGAGCAAACAACGAAGGAACCCUUGACAACAAUGAAGGCUUAUCUUGCCACUGCAUUGCCUAUUUUACAUAUUUGAUAGUCUGCAGUGCUAGGGUUAGCCAUCAACUCUAGAUUUGGUGGGAUUCUUAGUUAAGAUCCUCUCUUCUAUUGGCUGCAUACAGAACACUACAGGCAAUCGGAGUCUGAAUAAUAAUUUGCAGAACUAAUUUGUGAUAUAAUAUUGUUGUAUUUCUAUAUUUAUUGCAGAUUGUCUUCAUGGUCAAUUGCUGUAGCUCACAAGGAUAUUUUGCCCCAGAUCAAAAGUAAACUUUUUUUUUGGUAUAUAUUUUUUGAGGGUUUUUGUUUUUUAUCUCAGUUUUGGGGUAAAAUUAAAAACUGUAUUUCGAAUGUAUACAACAAGUUAUGUAUAAGUAUAUUUUCACAGCUAUAGGCAGGCCCAGAGAAAAUCAAAGAUAUUUAUUUUUCGUCAGCCAAAAAUUUCCUAUGUGGAAGCCAUGCAGCUCUUUUUGAACUUUGUCUUUUUACACAAAGUACAAAAAAAAUAAACACCCUCCAGCAUUUCCAGUGGAAAAAAGUUUACCUUUAAGCACUGAGACGGUCUGUGCUGCUGGUCACUCUGCCUACUGUGACGUCAUCUCGCUUUCAAGCCGAUGGCCAAUCUAAUGUUCCUCUGAGCAUUGGAGACUGAUAUGCAUUUGUCUUGAGUGUUACAGAUCCAAAUGCUUCUCAUCAUCAUCAUCAUUAAACUCAAUGCAUUCAUAUGAGCUGCAGCUUCACGUGAACGAUUUACUCUGUCGUAGAUGAAGCACUUCUAGUGGUGGUCUGGAAGACCACCACCCACUAGAGAUGUGUUUAACCGGUCAUGUAAACACUGCAAUUCAAAAAAAAACAGCAAUUUAAAAAGACCACCACACCCAGACAAGUGAUAGUGGAGACUUUAGUGGUUCUUUAAGCGAGCCUCAUUGUUUAGUGAAUAGCCCAUGUUGAAAUAUUUGACCACAAAGAUACAAAAUCGGUCACCAAAAAUGUAUUGGAAUGUUAAUGCCUUAUUUUGAAGCAGACAUGAUUUUUAGCCAUUUCUGAAAUGUAUUCUUUAUUGGAACAAACUAAUGUAGUAUCCGUGUACCAUUAAUCAUUUGGGAAGUUUUCCUCUCUUUUCACUCUAGUUUUAAUGAUUACAAACCAAUAGGGUGUCUUUUUAUGCACUUUAUAUUUUUGUCAGUCUUGUUUGAAGCUGUUGCUCUGAGCUGCCAAAAGGAAAUAGUGAACAAUGACGCUAGUAACAUGACCUUAAAGUAAAUUGUAGUUCACAGUGCAUUAUAGAUACUACUUAUCACAACACCAAAAUUAAGUUUGUUUUCAAGAUCUAUUUAAUGAUUCUAAAAACAUGUGUAUGCAAGAAGUAUAUUGCCAGCUGUUGUAGAAAUACCAAGAUGCUUCUCCAUAGCAACGUGUUUUUUACAUUUCUACGUUUGAGCAGUCUUCCUUCUCAGGGCAUGUUGAAGGAGAGCAGUGUAUUUGUUCCUAGCACACAAUACAUUUAACUAAGGACACUCUAGGCACCAUAACCGCAUGAUAUUGAAGUGGUUAUGGUACUAUGAAGAGGUCUUUUCAUUGUUAGACUUAAGAGGAGCUUUUAGUGCCGGUUGCAAACAGUCAGAAAAAUUUAAAUUACAGUUCCCAUCUUUCAGCACACAUUAUGCACGAUGAUUUUGAGUGAGUUGAAGGAACUUCUCCCCAGGAGUGAGUGCUUGCAAGUGCCAGGACUGUCCUGGUCUGUCUGGUGCUGGUCAAGUUUGGCUGCAUUUACCAGUCACCAAUCACAACAUGGACAGUAUUUGGACUGAGAGAGGCAUUGACUGCAGGUAGCAGUGACAUACAACCUCAUUGGUGUAUGUUUGCAUGCCACCCAGAAAGUUUAAUUUUUAAAUUUCUGACUGAUAUAACUUGCACUCAAUUACCUGUUUGUGGCACGGACAAUUAAUCUAAGAAUGCAGGAACCUAGUCAUAGCACUCAAGCUAAAGUGGUUAUGGUAUCUAGUCCCCCUUUCAAGCACAAUUUCAUGUUUUUUGUUUUUUCUUCAGUAAACUCCCUCAUAUAUGCACUAAAACAUGCCCCUAAAGAAUCCCCACAAGACCUUGCUCUCAACUCCUUUUUAUAGGUUUGUGUUUUUAUGUACAUAUCUACCAUGAAUGAUUUCAGUGUUUUUGGUUGUGUUUAGGAUGUUUGGUUGGGGUUGUGGUCUCCAAAGCACUUGCAUAAUUUUUCAUUUGACAUUCGACAGUUUUGUAGCAAAGUUGUAGCUUUACAAAUCAUGAUUGAUGUUGGAAGAUCUUCAGUUUCUUUUUGUGACCCUCAUAACACAGACAAUUUAUUAAAGAGGAGUUUCUGAACUGUAGGUUACUGACCUCCUACCGCUUAGAACUGUUGACAGAAAAGGAGUACAACAUGUUUUCAUAUUUCUUUGGUGGUUAUUAAUGUAAAAUUGUAUAUAUUUGUUCAUAAGGUGAAGUAUGUUUAAUUUAAGGAUGUUCCUAUUGGAAGUGCAAUAACUUUUACUGAAAGCUGUGAACAAUUAAACGUACAUAUUCAUUCUCAUUUGUUGACUGUCCCUCAUUGCUGUUUAUGUAAGCCUCUCCCUGUCUAGCUUCCCAACAAAUCCUUUUUAAAUCCAGUAUUUUACUUACUUUUUAUUUUCCUUUUUCUUUGCAUCUUCUAGCAAGGUCUCUAGAUGUUGGUGCACAUUCCAUGUCAGCACUGUUUUCCUUCCCUUUGUUCUAUUAUUUUUGUUACAACAUAUCAAUUUCAACCUCCUGGCCAUCAAGGGCUACUAGGAAGGCACUAGGUUACAAUUUUGAGUAUCCCCGCUGUGUAUUCUGACCAUUGGCACAUGUGCUUUUUUUUUUGUGGGUCUUGGUGGGAUAUGAGAUGAAAUCUUGCAACUUUUAAAAUCAAAGCAUUCACUUAUUUGUAUGGAUUAUAGAUGUUGUUGAAUGUUUUCUUUAAACAUCCUUACUGCUAUAUGAAAUAAAACUUCCCUAGGGACACUUGGAAGGAAGUAGUUAAGAAAUCUGCACUAUUUAGCUUAACUAAAGGCACAACUGUAUCCCUUCUUACAGUAUCACAAUCUAGAACUCCACCCUCUCUUUCGACAAUUUCAUCUUUAACCAUCUUAUUGUAUCAGUUGCCUGGCUUUAAUUCAUUGUCCUUGUUAAUGCACAACUAUUAAUCACCAGGUUGGGUUAAUUUAUAUUAAGUUAGAUUUUCCUUUUUUCUAUGAAAAUAAUUUGUGUUUUGGGGAAUUAACACGUGAUUUAUACAUUGACUUUUAUGUUUUUGUUUGUUAAAUCAAGUUCUUAACCAAUUAUUGCCAAUAUAUCUCACUAGACAUGGUGUUCUUACAGCUUCAUUUAUCUCAAACACACAAACACAUUAGAGGAUUUAGCAAUAACUGCCCUUUCCGGGGCAACAAUCCCAGCUCUGGUGCUUGUUUAUUACAGCAUCUGAUUGUAUUGUAUGAACCAUAUUGGGAGUUAUUUAUAAAGAGCAUUUGUGGGGAAACAUUCUAAAAGUAGAGCAAUCGACACAAGCAUUGAGUUGGAUCCCAGGUUGUUUACUCAAUUGGCGAAUCCUUUUCUCUAGAAUUGCUCCUUAUCAUAACAUCCCAUAUGUCCUAACCAGCAAUGUGAGGUUUCAGAAGCCGUGCUUUUUUAAUGUAGCUUUGUCUUUAAAAUUGUUUAAAUACUUGAAACUAUUUUGUUUUUAUGAGUAGUUUUCAACAUUAAUCAACCAGUGAUUUUUGUUUGUUUUUAGUGGCUUACCUGACUAACUCAAAUGUGUUUUCCAGGUGUCAUAUUAAUGCUGGUGCCUAGUAGUCACAUGGGACAGGCUUUUGUUGUACCUUCUCAUUUAUCCCAAAUAAUCUGUAUAUUUGUUUCCCCAUUAUAGACUACCUUCUUACCUUUUAGAUGUGCUUUUCGAUAUUGUAAUUAGGCUGGUCAGUUUUUGUUGCCUGACCCGACAUCCCUCUUUUUUUUUGUACUGAUAAAGGUAAAAUGAGACAAGACACCCAUCACGUUUGCUUGGAGAGCUGUGUUUUCUUAGUUUGAACGGUUUUAAUUUGUUUUAUUCUCCAUUAAUACUUGUACUUGAGCCCACACAAGCAGGUUUUCUGUUGUAUCCAUUCCAAUAAAUCUAAUCUAAUAUAUUGUUCUAUUAUUAAGAAAAGAUACCUAAAGUUUAGUUACUAGGGAUUGCAGUCAGGUAAGGGUAAAAAACUUGUAAUCUUUACGUGUAAAACGUUUUUUAAUAAUGUGGAUCACAUCUAUUCCAUAUAUUUAUGGACGAAUAUCUAUUUUUUUCCAUUAAGAUUUCUAAAACAUUUGAUUGCAUACAUAUCAUAAGAAUAUCUGAUGUUUUUGACUACUGUUUGACCUUCAGCACUUUUUUUUUUUCUCAACACUUGCAGCAUAAAUGUUUUCUUAUGUAAUGCUUCUUAAGUGUAUGAGUUUGUACAUUUAUUCUAAAUCCACAGCUGCUACUGGUGCCUUGCCAGGCAAAUCACGUGCAUUGUGUACAGGUUGCUUAUUGAUGUUUCCACAUUUCCAACUUGUCCUGCUGAGCUGCACAACAGGUAUCUGGAAAAAUCUUGUGUCCCUAAAGAUUUAAAGCUGCUUGUGAGAAAUAAUUAAUGAAGUACACUUCUGUUUUGAAACAUAUUUAUUUUAUAAAGCAGAUUUUUAUUUUCUGUUACAUGACUUGUGUGAUGAAGAGAAACUGUAUAAAUGGUUUUUGUUUGUUUCUUUGUUUUUUUUGCUGCAACCUUCUUACUGAUGAAAUGUUAUUUAUUUUAUCCUUUCUUUUCUCACCUUUAAUUUUUACUUUUUUGUAUCCUCAUGCUCUGGCCUUACUCAGGUCUUUCCACCUCCUUUUUAAUUUUUAUUUUCUCAUGUAAAUUUGUACAAUGGGAAAUAUUCAUUUUGGUUAGAGAGCAUGGAAACUUGAGGCAAAGAAAAAAAAAAAAAUUUCAUAGAUAAAAUUUAAAGUGAAUAUUUCUGUGUAAAGUUAUUUAAAAAAAAUUGUAUUAUAUGAAACAGCAAAAAGGGUAUGUGAACCUAAUGUGAAUAUGGGAACACAGAUAUAAUAAAGGUGGACUGCAUGGAAAACCAGA